This 307-nucleotide ribosomal RNA is filed under the name uncultured bacterium. RNAcentral describes it as "bacterial SSU rRNA". It matches the Rfam family "Bacterial small subunit ribosomal RNA", at positions 28 to 334 of the family's 1533-position model. The record is from RNAcentral.
GACGAACGCUGGCGGCGUGCUUAACACAUGCAAGUCGAACGAUGAAGCCCAGCUUGCUGGGUGGAUUAGUGGCGAACGGGUGAGUAACACGUGAGUAACCUGCCCUUUCCCCUGGGAUAACUCCGGGAAACCGGUGCUAAUACUGGAUAUGAUUCCAACCUGCAUGGGUAUGGGGUGGAAAGAUUUAUCGGGAUGGGAUGGACUCGCGGCCUAUCAGCUUGUUGGUGGGGUAAUGGCCUACCAAGGCGACGACGGGUAGCCGGCCUGAGAGGGUGACCGGCCACACUGGGACUGUGACACGGCCCAG